Daphnia pulex (common water flea) is the source of this 74-nucleotide non-coding RNA. Lineage: Eukaryota; Metazoa; Arthropoda; Branchiopoda; Diplostraca; Daphniidae. The record is from Rfam.
GCCUCUGUGGCGCAAUUGGCUAGCGCGUUCGGCUGUUAACCGGAAGGCUGGUGGUUCGAGCCCACCCAGGGGCG